AGGAGCUUGCUUCUCUGGAUGAGUUGCGAACGGGUGAGUAACGCGUAGGUAACCUGCCUGGUAGCGGGGGAUAACUAUUGGAAACGAUAGCUAAUACCGCAUAAUAGCAGUUGUUGCAUGACAGCUGUUUGAAAGGUGCAAUUGCACCACUACCAGAUGGACCUGCGUUGUAUUAGCUAGUUGGUGGGGUAACGGCUCACCAAGGCGACGAUACAUAGCCGACCUGAGAGGGUGAUCGGCCACACUGGGACUGAGACACGGCCCAGACUCCUACGGGAGGCAGCAGUAGGGAAUCUUCGGCAAUGGACGGAAGUCUGACCGAGCAACGCCGCGUGAGUGAAGAAGGUUUUCGGAUCGUAAAGCUCUGUUGUAAGAGAAGAACGAGUGUGAGAGUGGAAAGUUCACACUGUGACGGUAUCUUACCAGAAAGGGACGGCUAACUACGUGCCAGCAGCCGCGGUAAUACGUAGGUCCCGAGCGUUGUCCGGAUUUAUUGGGCGUAAAGCGAGCGCAGGCGGUUAGAUAAGUCUGAAGUUAAAGGCUGUGGCUUAACCAUAGUACGCUUUGGAAACUGUUUAACUUGAGUGCAAGAGGGGAGAGUGGAAUUCCAUGUGUAGCGGUGAAAUGCGUAGAUAUAUGGAGGAACACCGGUGGCGAAAGCGGCUCUCUGGCUUGUAAC
RNAcentral lists this ribosomal RNA (679 nucleotides) under uncultured Bacilli bacterium. Its description in RNAcentral is "bacterial SSU rRNA". It matches the Rfam family "Bacterial small subunit ribosomal RNA", at positions 74 to 740 of the family's 1533-position model. Lineage: Bacteria; Bacillati; Bacillota; Bacilli. The record is from RNAcentral.